Ziziphus jujuba (common jujube) is the source of this 1224-nucleotide long non-coding RNA. RefSeq lists it as uncharacterized. The transcript is spliced from 6 exons. The record is from RefSeq and is a predicted model, not a curated record. Lineage: Eukaryota; Viridiplantae; Streptophyta; Magnoliopsida; Rosales; Rhamnaceae.
UGUUUUUUGCCCGAUUUAUCCCUUUCAGUCCUAGGACAGCUCUUUCUCUUUCCCUUCGAAGUAGCUCUCUUCCUCUUGCUGGAACGUGGUCUCCCGUUGGAACGUCAUCUCUUCGCAGCUCUCCAAUUUGAAAAUCCCACUGCAUUAUCAAAGGACUUAGGGGUUUCAUUAAUAGCUGCGAAAGAAGGAAAUUUUCUCGAAGCUGAGAGGAUUUUCUUGGGAGGUCCAAAAGUGCAGGAAAAUUUUUUAAAUGUACCGAGAGAAGGGGAAGGAGGAGGAGGAGGAGGAAAAGAGAGCGUGACGAGAGUGUCUUUGAAUUCGGGUGGCUCCACCAGAUUGAGAAUGAGGUCUGACCUUUUCUUGGUGGUGUGUAAGUGCUUCAGCAUCUUGACCUCCUCUACAGCCGUUCUCUGUAUUGCUGUUAAUGUUCUCUCUGCCAUUUGAUCAUUCAAGGACGGAUAUGAUUGUAGGUUUUCGAUGGGAUAUUUCGGUGUUAUGAGGUUUUGAUUGCAGCUUUUGUGGUUCUAGCUGAGACAGAGUGGGAAUUCAUCAUCAAGUUCUGGAAGGUGUAGCCAAGCCUGAGCUUAUCUAACCAGAUCAUGCAGGAGUGCUUUCCACCGGUCCGCUGAGAAUUUAUUUACUAGUGUUGUUGGUUUGUAUCAGCAUGAUUCUAUAUCAGAUAUGGAUCCAGUGUACUUGUCCAAGAAUCAAUGGAUAUAUAAGGUUGAGUUGGCUAGUUAUGUUAAGCAGCUUUAUGCACAAACCUCUGAAUCAGCUAGUUACGUAUGGCACGACAUUGGUCUUCCAACAAGUAGGAUGCUAGUUUGGUACAAGUCAACAUUCUUAGCUCCUCUUGGUACUGAUCCAGUUGUGGUUGAUUUGAUGGGAUUGGGAAAAGGAGAAGCUUGGAUAAAUGUCAGAGCCUUGGAAGGUAUUGGCCAAAUUUUGAAGCCAAUGAAGAUGGUUGCACUUAUAUUUGUAAUUAUCAUGGAGCAUACAAUAGUAAUAAGUGCCUGACCAAUUGAUCAUUAAGGCGUUAAUACUUAAUUGCUCGAGCUCCUGUGAAUCCUACGGGAACGGAAUAACAUUACUUGGAGGACCCAUCUUAAACGAUAUUGUUUUGGCCUUCAAAAUAAAGAAAAACCACUGUUAUUGUAUCUUCCCAUUCAAUUUGUACAAAAACUGAAAGUAACUACCAAUAAAAUUUUAAAAGAUUUAUGUUCA